AUUGAACGCUGGCGGCAGGCCUAACACAUGCAAGUCGAGCGGAUGAAGGGAGCUUGCUCCUGGAUUCAGCGGCGGACGGGUGAGUAAUGCCUAGGAAUCUGCCUGGUAGUGGGGGAUAACGUCCGGAAACGGGCGCUAAUACCGCAUACGUCCUGAGGGAGAAAGUGGGGGAUCUUCGGACCUCACGCUAUCAGAUGAGCCUAGGUCGGAUUAGCCAGUUGGUGGGGUAAAGGCCUACCAAGGCGACGAUCCGUAACUGGUCUGAGAGGAUGAUCAGUCACACUGGAACUGAGACACGGUCCAGACUCCUACGGGAGGCAGCAGUGGGGAAUAUUGGACAAGGGGCGAAAGCCUGAUCCAGCCAUGCCACGUGUGUGAAGAAGGUCGUCGGAUUGUAAAGCACUUUAAGUUGGGAGGAAGGGCAGUAAGUUAAUACCGUGCUGUUUUGACGUUACCAACAGAAUAAGCACCGGCUAACUUCG
Molecule: ribosomal RNA, 482 nt
Filed under: uncultured bacterium
Lineage: Bacteria
Description: partial 16S ribosomal RNA
Rfam family: Bacterial small subunit ribosomal RNA
Source: RNAcentral